Long non-coding RNA from Oreochromis aureus, 1086 nucleotides. RefSeq lists it as uncharacterized. The record is from RefSeq and is a predicted model, not a curated record. NCBI's taxonomy places the organism in Eukaryota, Metazoa, Chordata, Actinopteri, Cichliformes, Cichlidae. The transcript is spliced from 3 exons.
UUCAUGAUUUGAUUUGGUCCAGAUGGCAGCGCUCUCGGCUGAGCGAAGAGGAAAGAAGGUCCUGAUCCUGUACCUCAUUAAUUUGGAAGAUUAAGUCAGUAAAGUAAAAUGUUUUGACCUGAGUGAUCUGAUGUCUGGACGUCUGAACAGAAAGACACCCCUUGCACUUUACACCAUUUUGUUUAAGGUCUGUGCAGCCUGUCUGAGCUUAACUGGAGAGAAGAAGCAAAGAAGGGUUUAAAGUGGGAUGUAGCAGGCCCUAACCCAUUAGUGACCAUGGAUACCACGGCCUGCCCUGCACCAUGGCAACAUCCAUCACUGGAAACAUUACCACGACACUGCCAGCGACACAGUAUAGCCUGCAUUUACUGAGUGAGUCAUUAUAUUUUCCCUUGUUUUUUAGAUAUAUUUUUAUCCAUGAAUGAACCCAUCAUGACAGAUCCACAGCAUGAUUUUUAAAAAGAAAGGAAGAAAACAUCAUUUAGGCCUACAAAUAGUUGCGUUCAGCUGUUGCUUUAUUUCCCAGAGGCCCCAAGAGGAAAUGGAUCUGCCUACAAUACAUUAAAAUCCACUCAGCCUACAGCACAUGUACAUUCUAAUACAAUACUGACACUGUGACACUAAUGCACUUUUAUUAUCAAAUUAGCUAUAGUCAGAGAUGUUUUCUGCAUUUUUAAUGAAUAAAAAUCAUAAAACAUUCAAAGCUUAAAUUUACAAUAAAGAUUUCACUUAACUAUGACUAUAACUGCAUUUAAUGAGUUUCAGUAUGCUGAUGACAGUUUGUCUGUUAUGCCACAAUAUAUUCCUAAAUUGAUAACUUGGUUAGCACCAUCUCUUUAAGUAUGAUUAAAAAAACAAACAAAAAAACAAAAACAAUGGUAAUCUUUGUCUAAGAUGGAUUCUUGUAAUUUAUUGUAUUACAGGUUAAUUACUGUUAGUUACUGCUAGCUGAAUCAAACAAAUGUAAAGAUUGAAUUCAGUCAAACUGAACAAUUUUAAAGGAUGCAGAUAUAGUUGCUAUUUAUAAGCAUUUUGUGUAUAUUCAGUGAAUCUAUCCACUCCUUUCCAAACAGGAAACACUCUACA